RNAcentral lists this ribosomal RNA (474 nucleotides) under uncultured bacterium. RNAcentral describes it as "SSU rRNA". It matches the Rfam family "Bacterial small subunit ribosomal RNA", at positions 26 to 518 of the family's 1533-position model. The record is from RNAcentral.
AGGACGAACGCUGGCGGCGUGCUUAACACAUGCAAGUCGAGCGGAAAGGCCCUUCGGGGUACUCGAGCGGCGAACGGGUGAGUAACACGUGAGUAAUCUGCCCCUAGCUCUGGGAUAGCUCCGGGAAAACCGGGAUUAAUACCGGAUACGACCACUUUAGACAUCUGUUGUGGUGGAAAGAAUUUUGGCUAGGGAUGAGCUCGCGGCCUAUCAGCUUGUUGGUGGGGUAACGGCCUACCAAGGCGACGACGGGUAGCCGGCCUGAGAGGGCGACCGGCCACACUGGGACUGAGACACGGCCCAGACUCCUACGGGAGGCAGCAGUGGGGAAUAUUGCGCAAUGGGCGAAAGCCUGACGCAGCGACGCCGCGUGGGGGAUGAAGGCCUUCGGGUUGUAAACCCUUUCAGCAGGGACGAAGCGAAAGUGACGGUACCUGCAGAAGAAGCGCCGGCUAACUACGCGCCAGCAGCCGC